UACGCAGGGUGCGAGCGUUGUCCGGAAUUACUGGGCGUAAAGAGCUCGUAGGUGGUUUGUCGCGUUGUUCGUGAAAACUCACAGCUUAACUGUGGGCGUGCGGGCGAUACGGGCAGACUGGAGUACUGCAGGGGAGACUGGAAUUCCUGGUGUAGCGGUGAAAUGCGCAGAUAUCAGGAGGAACACCGGUGGCGAAGGCGGGUCUCUGGGCAACUACUGACGCUGAGGAGCGAAAGCGUGGGGAGCGAACAGG
This 253-nucleotide ribosomal RNA is filed under the name uncultured bacterium. RNAcentral describes it as "partial 16S ribosomal RNA". It matches the Rfam family "Bacterial small subunit ribosomal RNA", at positions 524 to 776 of the family's 1533-position model. The record is from RNAcentral.